This 198-nucleotide ribosomal RNA is filed under the name uncultured bacterium. RNAcentral's name for it is "partial 16S ribosomal RNA". It matches the Rfam family "Bacterial small subunit ribosomal RNA", at positions 328 to 539 of the family's 1533-position model. The record is from RNAcentral.
ACGCUCGACACCUACGGGAGGCAGCAGUGGGGAAUAUUGCACAAUGGGGGAAACCCUGAUGCAGCGACGCCGCGUGAAGGAAGAAGUAUCUCGGUAUGUAAACUUCUAUCAGCAGGGAAGAAAAUGACGGUAUCUGACUAAGAAGCCCCGGCUAACUACGUGCCCGCAGCCGCGGUAAUCUGAGCGGGCUGGCAAGGC